RNAcentral lists this ribosomal RNA (497 nucleotides) under uncultured bacterium. RNAcentral's name for it is "partial 16S ribosomal RNA". It matches the Rfam family "Bacterial small subunit ribosomal RNA", at positions 28 to 507 of the family's 1533-position model. The record is from RNAcentral.
GAUGAACGCUGGCGGCGUGCCUAAUACAUGCAAGUCGAGCGAACAGAUGAGGAGCUUGCUCCUCUGACGUUAGCGGCGGACGGGUGAGUAACACGUGGAUAACCUACCUAUAAGACGGGGAUAACUUCGGGAAACCGGAGCUAAUACCGGAUAAUAUAUUGAACCGCUUGGUUCAAUAGUGAAAGACGGUUUUGCUGUCCCUUUUAGAUGGAUCCGCGCCGCAUUAGCUAGUUGGUAAGGUAACGGCUUACCAAGGCAACGAUGCGUAGCCGACCUGAGAGGGUGAUCGGCCACACUGGAACUGAGACACGGUCCAGACUCCUACGGGAGGCAGCAGUAGGGAAUCUUCCGCAAUGGGCGAAAGCCUGACGGAGCAACGCCGCGUGAGUGAUGAAGGUCUUCGGAUCGUAAAACUCUGUUAUUAGGGAAGAACAAAUGUGUAAGUAACUAUGCACGUCUUGACGGUACCUAAUCAGAAAGCCACGGCUAACUACGUG